GACGAACGCUGGCGGCGCGUCUAACGCAUGCAAGUCGAACGAGCGAGAGAGAGCUUGCUUUCUCAAGCGAGUGGCGAACGGGUGAGUAACGCGUGAGGAACCUGCCUCAAAGAGGGGGACAACAGUUGGAAACGACUGCUAAUACCGCAUAAGCCCACAGCUCGGCAUCGAGCAGAGGGAAAAGGAGUGAUCCGCUUUGAGAUGGCCUCGCGUCCGAUUAGCUGGUUGGUGAGGUAACGGCCCACCAAGGCAACGAUCGGUAGCCGGACUGAGAGGUUGAACGGCCACAUUGGGACUGAGACACGGCCCAGACUCCUACGGGAGGCAGCAGUGGGGAAUAUUGCACAAUGGGGGAAACCCUGAUGCAGCGACGCCGCGUGGAGGAAGAAGGUCUUCGGAUUGUAAACUCCUGUUGUUGAGGAAGAUAAUGACGGUACUCAACAAGGAAGUGACGGCUAACUACGUGCCAGCAGCCGCGGUAAAACGUAGGUCACAAGCGUUGUCCGGAAUUACUGGGUGUAAAGGGAGCGCAGGCGGGAAAGCAAGUUGGAAGUGAAAUCCAUGGGCUCAACCCAUGAACUGCUUUCAAAACUGUUUUUCUUGAGUAGUGCAGAGGUAGGCGGAAUUCCCGGUGUAGCGGUGGAAUGCGUAGAUAUCGGGAGGAACACCAGUGGCGAAGGCGGCCUACUGGGCACCAACUGACGCUGAGGCUCGAAAGUGUGGGUAGCAAACAGG
This 735-nucleotide ribosomal RNA is filed under the name uncultured bacterium. RNAcentral's name for it is "bacterial SSU rRNA". It matches the Rfam family "Bacterial small subunit ribosomal RNA", at positions 28 to 776 of the family's 1533-position model. The record is from RNAcentral.